CUGGUGUGCAAGGAACAGUACAUCUGCUGCUGCUGUGCACUGCCACUUCACUAAAAGUGUCUGUCUAACAGCACUGGCUCACCCUGGAAUUAUUUCCUGGACAAAGCCAAGAACCCUCCCGGGCUAAGCCCCAAUUUGGGGGCUUGCCUACCCUACAUCAAAAGAAGGAGAAACCUUUGGGAGCAGAGUGGGUAAGUCUGUGCAGCUCUGGGACGGGUACAGGGACUUCAAAUGCAUUUUCUC
Molecule: long non-coding RNA, 243 nt
Filed under: Homo sapiens (human)
Lineage: Eukaryota; Metazoa; Chordata; Mammalia; Primates; Hominidae
Description: HSALNT0176718
Source: RNAcentral